GCCCAAUGGAAUGGGCAAGUCCACCUUGUUAAAGCUUAUUGCUUGGAGAAAGAUUCCUGUACCUAAAAACAUAGAUGUGCUUCUGGUUGAACAAGAGGUGGUUGGUGACGAUAAAACUGCUCUAGAAGCAGUUGUUGCAGCUAAUGAAGAGCUUCUCAAGAUUCGACAAGAAGUUGCUUCUUUGCAAAAUGCAACGUCUGCUACUGGUAAUGAGGAUGGAGAUGAUGAUAUAAAUGGAAAUGAUGCAGGAGA
This 252-nucleotide unclassified non-coding RNA is filed under the name Hevea brasiliensis (rubber tree). Lineage: Eukaryota; Viridiplantae; Streptophyta; Magnoliopsida; Malpighiales; Euphorbiaceae. The record is from RNAcentral.